This 150-nucleotide transfer RNA is filed under the name Planctomycetota bacterium. RNAcentral describes it as "tRNA-Ile". It matches the Rfam family "tRNA". Rfam says of the family: Transfer RNA (tRNA) molecules are approximately 80 nucleotides in length. Their secondary structure includes four short double-helical elements and three loops (D, anti-codon, and T loops). Further hydrogen bonds mediate the characteristic L-shaped molecular structure. tRNAs have two regions of fundamental functional importance: the anti-codon, which is responsible for specific mRNA codon recognition, and the 3' end, to which the tRNAs corresponding amino acid is attached (by aminoacyl-tRNA synthetases). tRNAs cope with the degeneracy of the genetic code in two manners: having more than one tRNA (with a specific anti-codon) for a particular amino acid; and 'wobble' base-pairing, i.e. permitting non-standard base-pairing at the 3rd anti-codon position. Lineage: Bacteria; Pseudomonadati; Planctomycetota. The record is from RNAcentral.
GGGGCGGUAGCUCAAUCGGGUAGAGCAGCCCGGGCGCAAGCCCGGUUCAUGUUUCGGCACCCUAGUCGCCUCCAGACAUUGCGCGAAUGCAGUCGGAAGUACAUCGCACAUAACGAUGAGGUUGUGGGUUCGAGUCCCACCCCCGCUUCA